Molecule: ribosomal RNA, 236 nt
Filed under: uncultured bacterium
Lineage: Bacteria
Description: partial 16S ribosomal RNA
Rfam family: Bacterial small subunit ribosomal RNA
Source: RNAcentral
CGGCACGGGUGAGUAACACGUAUCCAACCUGCCGUCUACUCUUGGACAGCCUUCUGAAAGGAAGAUUAAUACAAGAUGGCAUCAUGAGUCCGCAUGUUCACAUGAUUAAAGGUAUUCCGGUAGACGAUGGGGAUGCGUUCCAUUAGAUAGUAGGCGGGGUAACGGCCCACCUAGUCUUCGAUGGAUAGGGGUUCUGAGGGGAAGGUCCCCCACAUUGGAACUGAGACACGGUCCAA